Oreochromis niloticus (Nile tilapia) is the source of this 1166-nucleotide long non-coding RNA. RefSeq lists it as uncharacterized. The transcript is spliced from 3 exons. The record is from RefSeq and is a predicted model, not a curated record. NCBI's taxonomy places the organism in Eukaryota, Metazoa, Chordata, Actinopteri, Cichliformes, Cichlidae.
AUAUGCACCUUCCUCUGCACGGUUAGCCCUGCCACCGCUGCCUCCCGCUCUGAUCAAUGCAUUAACUUACAUCGUGUUCCAUAUAUCUGCUUUAGCACGGCCGGCGGAAAUGCUGACAGCCCUCCUUUCUUUGGAUUUGGCGAUUAGCAGCUCGGGCCUUGUCAAUACAAUAGUAAUGAAUGGGCCAGAUAAAUGUGAUUUGGGGGCAUAAUCAUUUUUUUGUGAUAGUAUGAUAUUGCUGGUGUGCAUUUUUUGCUUAAAAAGCAGAGUGAUUAAUCAAUAAUUAAUUUUGAAGCAGGGGCACUGAUAGAGGCAAAACGAUGAAAACAUUCGCCAUAAAUCUGCACUUUAUCGCCGCUAUUAUCGAAGGAUUCGUGACAACAGCUCGUCAGUCUUGGAGUUCCUCGUGUGACGAUGUGACGAGCGAGCUGAAAGUAAACGUCUCAACACGAUGACACGUCAGGACUGAAGUGGCGAAAACACAGCUGAUUGCAUUUUGGUGGCGCCACAAACAGAGAACAUCACGCGGCCGACGGCUUCUGCUUAAACUCAGACUGGCGGGGGGGCGGCGGGGGUUGGAAGCCCUUCACAAUGUGAAUGAAGUGAGGAAGGAAGGCAGCGUAACAGCAGCGCAGAACAAAGUCGACGAGCUGAGACUAAACAUGAAAGAAAGCUCAUGCAGGACAGGUAAUCUCUCCAGGUGUCCUGGGUCUGCCUCCUGGUACAACGUGUGAAACACCUCGCCUAGGAGGCGUUCAGGAGGGAUCCAGGUCAAGCGGCAGCUCUACUCAGCCCUUCACGAAUGACCAAGUCCAGACACCCGUCAGAGGAAGCUUCCAGAGCUCGUGGUCGUCGGUUAGGGUGGGAACGCAAAUCGACGGGUACAUGAGCAGCUCUCCCCUCACGCUCACACACAAAACCCUGACGUACCUGCACUCCUAGAGGUCACCGCCUGAUGAAGCCAGGAGAACCACAUCAUCUGCAAAAGGCAGAAAAUAUCCUGAGUCAACAAACGGUCCUGGUGUUACUGUCGCUUCUCAUGGCGACAGCAGCAACACUGAACUCAGGCUCACUGCUUUUCUUCUUCAGCGUUGACCGAAGCCACGUCAGACCUAGAUUGUCUGAGCUCACGUCUAAUAUGAGAAAAUCAACGUGACAAAGGGACA